This 166-nucleotide long non-coding RNA is filed under the name Melopsittacus undulatus (budgerigar). Its description in RNAcentral is "lncRNA (ENSMUNG00000021636.1)". Lineage: Eukaryota; Metazoa; Chordata; Aves; Psittaciformes; Psittaculidae. The record is from RNAcentral.
AGCCAGAGCCUUAAAAACUUGUUAAAAGCUCUCCCAGUGUUCCAAGGUAGAAAAAACUUUUACGAGAAGUAUUCUGAUCCAGUUUCACUGCUGAUCAGCAAGGCAUUUUGUGUUACUGCGCUGGUGGCUGAACUUGUUUUAAAAUACACAUCUCUAAAAGCCCAGC